Actinia tenebrosa (Australian red waratah sea anemone) is the source of this 1124-nucleotide long non-coding RNA. Lineage: Eukaryota; Metazoa; Cnidaria; Anthozoa; Actiniaria; Actiniidae. The record is from RefSeq and is a predicted model, not a curated record.
AUUAGCCCGUAUUUACGUUUUAAAUGAAGCAUUUUGAUUUUAAAGCGAGCUAUACAAUGCCCGUGCAAAUGUGCACGUUUAUGCUCGAACAACAACCUAAUUACGUAUGCUAAAAUCCGGACCGGAACUGAAAUUGCAGUUCCAAAUUGAGUUAUUUAUCAGUACUACUUUAUCAGUAUUUUUGGAAGCUCAACCAACUAAAUACUCCAUGCAUGUUGAAACCAGGACCUCCACUUCCCCCUUCCUGGUAUCCAAGUCAACGCUGCCUACAGCGUCUAGUUUAUUGAUGACUCAGAUGAGUGGAGCAACGGAAAAAACCUUUUCGUGUUGAAGCAGCAGCAGCAUCUCCAUCCCACACACAGAAAACCAAGAAUCACACACCAUCAACAUCAGCAUCAGCAUCGGCAUCAACACCAAAGCUUUUCAUAAAGCACAACCAUGCAUUUCAAAAAGGUUCCAUCUGGUGUUGGAAAGAGUCAGUGUUUGAUGGACCCCGCUAGACACCUUUCACUAUACAGUAUACUAUUCAAUGGCCACAGAAAAAGUGACAGUUUCAUAUUAUGUCCAACCAAGAGAAAAUGAACAUAUUCGCUUGGUCCAACGAUACACAUCUGAUCACCUACCUAUUGAUACAAGCCUUCAAACAUUAAUGAACACAGAUAAAGAAUAACUUGUACAAAAAAAGAUAUUGCAUUUUAUAAUGCUACAUCAACACAUGUAAAACCUUGAUGGGCACUCAAACAAAAUAUCCAGCAGAAUCAAAUAAUAGGAAAAUCUUGGACAAAAAUUUGGGAUUUUGUUCUUCUUGCUUCGCUCUUACUUCUAUCAUUUGCUCUCCAAUACCAAAUGCGGUCUACUAGGACCAGCAAAGGGAGUAAAGGGAGUGGAUUGAACAACAGUUAAAUGUAAGUAUAUCAUUCCAUUUUUCAUAAUAGAAAGCUAUAGAAGCAAAUAGAUAAGAGAAGCACUUACUGGAGGAGUUGUUCAGAAUUUGGUUUGGGAUCACUUGUUAUUGUUGUUAUGGUUAGGGUGAUACACUACAAGUGUUUUUGAUCUUUCUAGUUUUCCUCAACAGAGAGUUUGUAAAUUCUGUUUGAAAGUUUAAUAAAAAAAUAUUAACUUUG